RNAcentral lists this unclassified non-coding RNA (336 nucleotides) under soil metagenome. Its description in RNAcentral is "partial contains 5.8S ribosomal RNA, internal transcribed spacer 2, and large subunit ribosomal RNA". The stretch from base 1 to 120 matches the Rfam family "5.8S ribosomal RNA", at positions 35 to 154 of the family's 154-position model. The record is from RNAcentral.
GAUGAAGAACGCAGCGAAAUGCGAUACGUAGUGUGAAUUGCAGAAUUCAGUGAAUCAUCGAAUCUUUGAACGCACAUUGCACCUCUCGGUAUUCCGGGAGGUAUGCCUGUUCGAGCGUCAUUUGUACCCUCAAGCUCUGCUUGGUGUUGGGUGUUUGUUCCGCCUCUGUGUGUGAACUCGCCUCAAAACAAUUGGCAGCCGGCGUACUUGUUUCGGAGCGCAGCACAUUUUGCGAUCCAGAUCAACGUACAGCGGCAUCCAAGAAGCCUUAUUUAACGCUCUUGACCUCGGAUCAGGUAGGGAUACCCGCUGAACUUAAGCAUAUCAAUAAGCGGA